Molecule: unclassified non-coding RNA, 310 nt
Filed under: plant metagenome
Description: partial contains 5.8S ribosomal RNA, internal transcribed spacer 2, and large subunit ribosomal RNA
Rfam family: 5.8S ribosomal RNA (bases 1-105)
Source: RNAcentral
GAAAUGCGAUAAGUAGAGUGAAUUGCAGAAUUCAGUGAAUCAUCGAAUCUUUGAACGCACAUUGCGCCCCUUGGUAUUCCAUGGGGCAUGCCUGUUCGAGCGUCAUUUGUACCCUCAAGCUCUGCUUGGUGUUGGGUGUUUGUCCCCGUCUCCGCGCGUGGACUCGCCCCAAAGUGAUUGGCAGCCGGCGUACUGGUCCCGGAGCGCAGCACAUGUCGCGCAAACGAGUGCCUUGGUACGGCGGCGUCCAUAAGCCCCUCUCUCACGCUCUUGACCUCGGAUCAGGUAGGGAUACCCGCUGAACUUAAGC